RNAcentral lists this ribosomal RNA (1459 nucleotides) under metagenome. RNAcentral describes it as "bacterial LSU rRNA". It matches the Rfam family "Bacterial large subunit ribosomal RNA", at positions 1277 to 2865 of the family's 2925-position model. The record is from RNAcentral.
CUUGAUCAGAAGCGAGAAUGUUGACAUGAGUAGCGAUAAACAGGGUGAGAGACCCUGUCGCCGUAAGUCCAAGGGUUCCUGCUUAAAGCUAAUCUGAGCAGGGUAAGCCGGCCCCUAAGGCGAGGCCGAAAGGCGUAGUCGAUGGGAACCACGUUAAUAUUCGUGGGCCAGGAGGAUGUGACGGAUCUGAACCGUUGUCUGCCCUUAUCGGAUUGGGUGGGCAGCCUACAGGUCCCCAAAAUAGCCCUCCAUUAGACCGUGCCCUAAACCGACACAGGUGGACUGGUAGAGUAUACCAAGGCGCUUGAGAGAACCACAUCAAAGGAACUCGGCAAAAUGCCUCCGUAAGUUCGCGAGAAGGAGGCCCCAUCUGUACGCAAGUAUAGGUGGGGGGCACAAACUAGGGGGUGGCGACCGUUUACUUAAAACACAGGGCUGUGCGAAGCCGUAAGGCGACGUAUACAGUCUGACGCCUGCCCGGUGCUGGAAGGUUAAAAGGAGGGGUGCAAGCUCUGAAUUGAAGCCCCAGUAAACGGCGGCCGUAACUAUAACGGUCCUAAGGUAGCGAAAUUCCUUGUCGGGUAAGUUCCGACCUGCACGAAUGGCGUAACGAUCUCCCCGCUGUCUCUGAUGUGGACUCAGCGAAAUUGAACUGUGUGUCAAGAUGCACACUACCCGCGGUUAGACGGAAAGACCCCAUGCACCUUUACUCUAGCUUCGCACUGGCAUCAGGAUUGUGAUGUGCAGGAUAGGUGGUAGGCUUUGAAGCGGGGACGCUAGUCUUCGUGGAGCCAACCUUGAGAUACCACCCUUCGCACUCUUGAUGUCUAACCGCGGUCCGUUAUCCGGAUCCGGGACCAUGCGUGGUGGGGAGUUUGACUGGGGCGGUCGCCUCCCAAAUCGUAACGGAGGCGCGCGAAGGUAGGCUCAGACCGGUCGGAAAUCGGUCGUUGAGUGCAAUGGCAUAAGCCUGCCUGACUGCAAGACUGACAAGUCGAGCAGAGUCGAAAGACGGUCAUAGUGAUCCGGUGGUCCCAAGUGGGAGGGCCAUCGCUCAACGGAUAAAAGGUACGCUGGGGAUAACAGGCUGAUGAUGCCCAAGAGUCCAUAUCGACGGCAUCGUUUGGCACCUCGAUGUCGGCUCAUCUCAUCCUGGGGCUGGAGCAGGUCCCCAGGGUAUGGCUGUUCGCCAUUUAAAGAGGUACGUGAGCUGGGUUUAGAACGUCGUGAGACAGUUCGGUCCCUAUCUGCCGUGGGUGUAGGAUACUUGAGAAGAGUUGUCCCUAGUACGAGAGGACCGGGAUGAACGAACCACUGGUGGACCAGUUGUCGUGCCAACGGCAGUGCUGGGUAGCUAUGUUCGGACAGGAUAACCGCUGAAGGCAUCUAAGCGGGAAGCCCCCUUCAAAACGAGGUAUCCCUUGAGAGCCGUGGAAGACGACCACGUCGAUAGGCCGGA